GGUUAAGCGACUAAGCGUACACGGUGGAUGCCCUGGCAGUCAGAGGCGAUGAAGGACGUGCUAAUCUGCGAAAAGCGUCGGUAAGGUGAUAUGAACCGUUAUAGCCGGCGAUGUCCGAAUGGGGAAACCCAGUGCAAUUCGUUGCACUAUCGUUAACUGAAUACAUAGGUUAACGAGGCGAACCGGGGGAACUGAAACAUCUAAGUACCCCGAGGAAAAGAAAUCAACCGAGAUUCCCCCAGUAGCGGCGAGCGAACGGGGAGCAGCCCAGAGUCUGAAUCAGCUUGUGUGUUAGUGGAACGGUCUGGAAAGUCCGACGGUACAGGGUGAUAGUCCCGUACACCAAAAUGCACAGGUUGUGAACUCGAAGAGUAGGGCGGGACACGUGGUAUCCUGUCUGAAUAUGGGGGGACCAUCCUCCAAGGCUAAAUACUCCUGACUGACCGAUAGUGAACCAGUACCGUGAGGGAAAGGCGAAAAGAACCCCGGCGAGGGGAGUGAAAAAGAACCUGAAACCGUGUACGUACAAGCAGUGGGAGCACCUUCGGGUGUGACUGCGUACCUUUUGUAUAAUGGGUCAGCGACUUAUAUUCUGUAGCAAGGUUAACCGUAUAGGGGAGCCGCAGGGAAACCGAGUCUUAACUGGGCGUUAAGUUGCAGGGUAUAGACCCGAAACCCGGUGAUCUAGCCAUGGGCAGGUUGAAGGUUGGGUAACACUAACUGGAGGACCGAACCGACUAAUGUUGAAAAAUUAGCGGAUGACUUGUGGCUGGGGGUGAAAGGCCAAUCAAACCGGGAGAUAGCUGGUUCUCCCCGAAAGCUAUUUAGGUAGCGCCUCGUGAAUUCAUCUUCGGGGGUAGAGCACUGUUUCGGCUAGGGGGUCAUCCCGACUUACCAACCCGAUGCAAACUACGAAUACCGAAGAAUGUUAUCACGGGAGACACACGGCGGGUGCUAACGUCCGUCGUGAAGAGGGAAACAACCCAGACCGCCAGCUAAGGUCCCAAAGUCAUGGUUAAGUGGGAAACGAUGUGGGAAGGCACAGACAGCCAGGAUGUUGGCUUAGAAGCAGCCAUCAUUUAAAGAAAGCGUAAUAGCUCACUGGUCGAGUCGGCCUGCGCGGAAGAUGUAACGGGGCUAAACCAUGCACCGAAGCUGCGGCAGCGACACUAUGUGUUGUUGGGUAGGGGAGCGUUCUGUAAGCCUGCGAAGGUGUGCUGUGAGGCAUGCUGGAGGUAUCAGAAGUGCGAAUGCUGACAUAAGUAACGAUAAAGCGGGUGAAAAGCCCGCUCGCCGGAAGACCAAGGGUUCCUGUCCAACGUUAAUCGGGGCAGGGUGAGUCGACCCCUAAGGCGAGGCCGAAAGGCGUAGUCGAUGGGAAACAGGUUAAUAUUCCUGUACUUGGUGUUACUGCGAAGGGGGGACGGAGAAGGCUAUGUUAGCCGGGCGACGGUUGUCCCGGUUUAAGCAUGUAGGCUGGUUAUCCAGGCAAAUCCGGAUAAUCAAGGCUGAGGUGUGAUGACGAGGCACUACGGUGCUGAAGUAACAAAUGCCCUGCUUCCAGGAAAAGCCUCUAAGCAUCAGGUAACAUCAAAUCGUACCCCAAACCGACACAGGUGGUCAGGUAGAGAAUACCAAGGCGCUUGAGAGAACUCGGGUGAAGGAACUAGGCAAAAUGGUGCCGUAACUUCGGGAGAAGGCACGCUGGUGUGUAGGUGAAGUCCCUGCGGAUGGAGCUGAGACCAGUCGAAGAUACCAGCUGGCUGCAACUGUUUAUUAAAAACACAGCACUGUGCAAACACGAAAGUGGACGUAUACGGUGUGACGCCUGCCCGGUGCCGGAAGGUUAAUUGAUGGGGUUAUCCGUAAGGAGAAGCUCUUGAUCGAAGCCCCGGUAAACGGCGGCCGUAACUAUAACGGUCCUAAGGUAGCGAAAUUCCUUGUCGGGUAAGUUCCGACCUGCACGAAUGGCGUAAUGAUGGCCAGGCUGUCUCCACCCGAGACUCAGUGAAAUUGAACUCGCUGUGAAGAUGCAGUGUACCCGCGGCAAGACGGAAAGACCCCGUGAACCUUUACUAUAGCUUGACACUGAACAUUGAGCCUUGAUGUGUAGGAUAGGUGGGAGGCUUUGAAGCGUGGACGCCAGUCUGCGUGGAGCCAACCUUGAAAUACCACCCUUUAAUGUUUGAUGUUCUAACGUUGGCCCCUUACCGGGGUUGCGGACAGUGUCUGGUGGGUAGUUUGACUGGGGCGGUCUCCUCCCAAAGCGUAACGGAGGAGCACGAAGGUUAGCUAAUCCUGGUCGGACAUCAGGAGGUUAGUGCAAUGGCAUAAGCUAGCUUGACUGCGAGCGUGACGGCGCGAGCAGGUGCGAAAGCAGGUCAUAGUGAUCCGGUGGUUCUGAAUGGAAGGGCCAUCGCUCAACGGAUAAAAGGUACUCCGGGGAUAACAGGCUGAUACCGCCCAAGAGUUCAUAUCGACGGCGGUGUUUGGCACCUCGAUGUCGGCUCAUCACAUCCUGGGGCUGAAGUAGGUCCCAAGGGUAUGGCUGUUCGCCAUUUAAAGUGGUACGCGAGCUGGGUUUAGAACGUCGUGAGACAGUUCGGUCCCUAUCUGCCGUGGGCGCUGGAGAAUUGAGGGGGGCUGCUCCUAGUACGAGAGGACCGGAGUGGACGCAUCACUGGUGUUCGGGUUGUCAUGCCAAUGGCACUGCCCGGUAGCUAAAUGCGGAAGAGAUAAGUGCUGAAAGCAUCUAAGCACGAAACUUGCCCCGAGAUGAGUUCUCCCUGAGACUUUAAGUCUCCUGAAGGAACGUUGAAGACGACGACGUUGAUAGGCCGGGUGUGUAAGCGCAGCGAUGCGUUGAGCUAACCGGUACUAAUGAACCGUGAGGCUUAACCUU
This 2902-nucleotide ribosomal RNA is filed under the name Klebsiella pneumoniae. RNAcentral's name for it is "23S ribosomal RNA". It matches the Rfam family "Bacterial large subunit ribosomal RNA". Lineage: Bacteria; Pseudomonadati; Pseudomonadota; Gammaproteobacteria; Enterobacterales; Enterobacteriaceae. RNAcentral also lists the same sequence under 1 other name. The record is from RNAcentral.